GUGCACACUGUGAUGUUCGGGGUCUUGUCCGAGACCUCCAAAGGCUUACAUUAUUUUUGCCCAGAAAAACCAUCACACCAGAUUCUUUCUGACUGGAUCUCCAGAGAAUGUUCCUCCAGGUACUGUGGUGGAUAAGCAAGUCUGCCAUCGCAAGAAUUUUGACUUCUACAUGUGUGAACAUGCUGGCAUGAUUGAACCUCAGGGCCAACACAUUACCAUGUUCUUCAUGAUGAGAUCGGCUUCACUGCUGAUCCUCUUUAGGAAUUCGUGCAUUCCCUUACACGCUCCAAGUCCAUCUUCAAACCAAACUACUAAUGCUCAGAGAAGGGUUAUAGGCAAGGAGCAACCAUGCCAGGACUCAAUCACCAGAUGUAUUUCCACCAAGACAGUCUCAGGACAAAACUGGGAACAGUGGAGCUUUUGUUAAAUCAAACGGGAUAACCAAAUCAGUUCUCGUUCUACUAUUUGGCACGGUGGAUCGGCUGGGGGUGUUGGCGUCUGCCUUUGCCCUUGUCAGCGGAGAAGAUGGAGCAAGAUGAGGUGAUUGAGGAUGUGCCGAACAGAGCCACCAUGUUUUUGGUGACAUAAACA
Lolium rigidum is the source of this 591-nucleotide long non-coding RNA. RefSeq lists it as uncharacterized. NCBI's taxonomy places the organism in Eukaryota, Viridiplantae, Streptophyta, Magnoliopsida, Poales, Poaceae. The transcript is spliced from 6 exons. The record is from RefSeq and is a predicted model, not a curated record.